Molecule: ribosomal RNA, 414 nt
Filed under: uncultured microorganism
Description: bacterial SSU rRNA
Rfam family: Archaeal small subunit ribosomal RNA
Source: RNAcentral
GCGCAGCAGGCGAGAAACUUCGCAAUGCGCGAAAGCGCGACGAGGGGAUUCCAAGUGCAUGCACUAAGUGUAUGCUUUUCGUGAGUUUAAAACGCUCACGGAAUAAGGGCUGGGUAAGACUGGUGCCAGCCGCCGCGGUAAUACCAGCGGCCCUAGUGGUGAUCGUUAUUAUUGGGCCUAAAGCGUCCGUAGCCGGUCCGGUAAAUCUCUGGGUAAAUCGUUGGGCUUAACUCAGCGAAUUCUGGGGAGACUGCUGGACUUGGGGACCGGGAGAGGUCGGAGGUACUCCAGGGGUAGGGGUGAAAUCCUGUAAUCCUUGGGGGACCACCGGUGGCGAAGGCGUCCGACCAGAACGGGUCCGACGGUAAGGGACGAAGCCCUGGGGCGCGAACCGGGAUUAGAUACCCCUGUAGU